CCUACGGGAGGCAGCAGUAAGGAAUAUUGGUCAAUGGACGCAACUCUGAACGAGCCAUGCCGCGUGCAGGAAGACGGCUCUAUGAGUUGUAAACUGCUUUUGUACGAGGGUAAACGCAGAUACGCGUAUCUGUCUGAAAUUAUCGUACGAAUAAGGAUCGGCUAACUACGUGCCAGCCGCCGCGGUAAUAUGGAGGAUUCAAGCGUUAUGCGGAUUUGGUGGGUUUAAAGGGUGCGUAGGGGGUCGGAGAAGUUAGAGGUGAAAUCCCGAGGCGCAACUUCGGAAAUGCCUGUGAUACUGUUCGGCUAGAGAGUAGUUGAGGGAGGCGGAAUUUAUGGUGUAGCGGUGAAAUGCUUAGAGAU
Molecule: ribosomal RNA, 362 nt
Filed under: uncultured bacterium
Lineage: Bacteria
Description: partial 16S ribosomal RNA
Rfam family: Bacterial small subunit ribosomal RNA
Source: RNAcentral